This 376-nucleotide ribosomal RNA is filed under the name uncultured bacterium. RNAcentral describes it as "bacterial SSU rRNA". It matches the Rfam family "Bacterial small subunit ribosomal RNA", at positions 521 to 896 of the family's 1533-position model. The record is from RNAcentral.
UAAUACGAAGGGGGCUAGCGUUGUUCGGAAUCACUGGGCGUAAAGCGCACGCAGGCGGAUCGUUAAGUCAGGGGUGAAAUCCCGAGGCUCAACCUCGGAACUGCCUUUGAUACUGGCGAUCUUCGAGUCCGGGAGAGGUGAGUGGAACUCCGAGUGUAGAGGUGAAAUUCGUAGAUAUUCGGAAGAACACCAGUGGCGAAGGCGGCUCACUGGCCCGGUACUGACGCUCAGGUGCGAAAGCGUGGGGAGCAAACAGGAUUAGAUACCCUGGUAGUCCACGCCGUAAACGAUGGAUGCUAGCCGUCGGUGAGCUUGCUCUUCGGUGGCGCAGCUAACGCAAUAAGCAUCCCGCCUGGGGAGUACGGUCGCAAGACUA